GACGAACCGUGCGAACGUUGUUCGGAAUCACUGGGCUUAAAGGGCGCGUAGGCGGGCUCGCAAGUCAGGGGUGAAAGCCCGCGGCUCAACCGCGGAAGCGCCUUUGAUACUGCGGGCCUCGAGGGGGGUAGGGGCGUGCGGAACUUCCGGUGGAGCGGUGAAAUGCGUAGAUAUCGGGAGGAACACCGGUGGCGAAGGCGGUUCUCUGGGCCUUACCUGACGCUGAGGAGCGAAAGCGUGGGGAGCGAACAGG
RNAcentral lists this ribosomal RNA (253 nucleotides) under uncultured bacterium. RNAcentral's name for it is "partial 16S ribosomal RNA". It matches the Rfam family "Bacterial small subunit ribosomal RNA", at positions 524 to 776 of the family's 1533-position model. The record is from RNAcentral.